This is a long non-coding RNA of Danaus plexippus (monarch butterfly), 458 nucleotides long. RefSeq lists it as uncharacterized. The record is from RefSeq and is a predicted model, not a curated record. The transcript is spliced from 2 exons. NCBI's taxonomy places the organism in Eukaryota, Metazoa, Arthropoda, Insecta, Lepidoptera, Nymphalidae.
GUAAAAUAUCUAAUUAAGAGGAAGUACGUAGGUACUAGAUAAACAUAAUUGCAUUUCAUGUUUUACGAGUACAAUGAGCAUGGCUGCCAUGAAUUAUUAUAUGUUAGGUUUAAUAUGUGCGGCGAUAAAUACGCUAAAUGAUACUGAAUUUCGAAAACACUAUGGUCUCAGUUUUCAUAACCAAUGCGGUAAUUACAUUGUGACCUUUAAGUGUAUGACUGUUUGCAAGAGUAUUGGAUAUCAAGUAUUUAGAUUGAAUAGUUUCUGCAAGUGUUCCUGUCAUGAAAUGAAAACGAGUACAAUACUGCCGUUUUUCAAGUGGCAGACAAAUGGAACUACCAAGGUUUUGCCAAAAACUGCUAGCCCGGGGCUUUACCAUAUUGUAGGGACCUUGUCACCUCCUCCCGGAGACAGCGAGGAGAUCAGUACUACUAUAAAUGAUACGGAAAGUGAAACAA